AGAUUGAACGCUGGCGGCAUGCCUAACACAUGCAAGUCGAACGGGAGUAGCAAUACUCUAGUGGCGGACGGGUGAGGAAUACGUAGGAAUUUGCCCUUAAGUGGGGGAUAACCCGGGGAAACCCGGAUUAAUACCGCAUGACCUCGAAAGAGCAAAGUGGGGGAUCGCAAGACCUCACGCUUUUGGAGAAGCCUACGUCGGAUUAGCUAGUUGGUGAGGUAAUGGCUCACCAAGGCGACGAUCCGUAACUGGUCUGAGAGGAUGAUCAGUCACACCGGAACUGAGACACGGUCCGGACUCCUACGGGAGCAGCAGUGGGGAAUAGUUGGACAAUGGGCGCAAGCC
This 345-nucleotide ribosomal RNA is filed under the name uncultured soil bacterium. RNAcentral's name for it is "bacterial SSU rRNA". It matches the Rfam family "Bacterial small subunit ribosomal RNA", at positions 26 to 383 of the family's 1533-position model. The record is from RNAcentral.